CACGUAUGGGGCGAGCGUUGUUCGGAAUUAUUGGGCGUAAAGGGCAUGCAGGCGGUUAUUUAAGUCUGGCGUGAAAGACCCGAGCUUAACUCGGGGAACGCGUUGGAAACUGGGUGACUAGAGUUCUGGAGGGGAAGCUGGAAUUCCAGGUGUAGGGGUGAAAUCUGUAGAUAUCUGGAAGAACAUCAGUGGCGAAGGCGAGCUUCUAGCCAAGGACUGACGCUGAGAUGCGAAAGCGUGGGGAGCAAACAGG
RNAcentral lists this ribosomal RNA (253 nucleotides) under uncultured bacterium. RNAcentral's name for it is "partial 16S ribosomal RNA". It matches the Rfam family "Bacterial small subunit ribosomal RNA", at positions 524 to 776 of the family's 1533-position model. The record is from RNAcentral.